This 253-nucleotide ribosomal RNA is filed under the name uncultured bacterium. Its description in RNAcentral is "partial 16S ribosomal RNA". It matches the Rfam family "Bacterial small subunit ribosomal RNA", at positions 524 to 776 of the family's 1533-position model. The record is from RNAcentral.
GACGGAGGAUGCAAGCGUUAUCCGGAAUUAUUGGGCGUAAAGCGUCCGUAGGCGGUUUCAAAAGUCUGUUGUUAAAGCCCACAGCUCAACUGUGGAUCGGCAAUGGAAACUGUGAGACUAGAGAGUGGUAGGGGUAGAGGGAAUUCCUGGUGUAGCGGUGAAAUGCGUAGAGAUCAGGAAGAACAUCGGUGGCGAAAGCGCUCUACUGGACGACAACUGACACUCAGGGACGAAAGCUAGGGGAGCGAAUGGG